Molecule: long non-coding RNA, 506 nt
Organism: Vidua macroura (Pin-tailed whydah)
Lineage: Eukaryota; Metazoa; Chordata; Aves; Passeriformes; Viduidae
Exons: 2
Source: RefSeq, a predicted model, not a curated record
UGCCUCACCAGCCAAGCUCGCCUCACAGAGAUUACACUGCAAGGCAAAAUUAUUCACCAGCAUGGAAAUGACUGAAGAACGAGCAAAUAGUCCCAUAGCUUGGAUCAUCCACAUUUCUUCCGACUAAAACCCUGAAAACACAAUGUCCAAGGCUCUGGGAACACUCUGUAUUUGACUCGCGCCAAGUGGAACGUAUUACUAGAUUACACAUAUGAUCUUCGUUAUCUGGGAUAUUUAGCCUUUGGCACAGGACCCCUAGAAGAUGACAUGCCAGAAUCACUUACUGUGCACUGGAAGAAGGAAGAACAGCCUCUCUCUGAAUGGCAUAACAUUACUUCUAUGUAAACAAGGGUAGGAAACACCUUGGAAACUUGCUGAAUCUUCAGUUUUUACCUUCCACUUCUCCAACCAUAAAAGCCACAUAACAAAGUUGAGUAGAGGUAGCAUUUUAGGAACUUCCUUUUCAGGUUCUUAAGGGAUUUAUUCAUAAAACUUUCUAAAAAAUA